UGGGAAAAAAAAUAGGAGCAUUAAAUAAAAAGGGGAAAUGUGAAAGAGAGUGGGGUAUUUUCCUAAAUCUAAAAUUCUAGGCAUUAGGAGACAAGAAGUAGCAUUUAUGGUGGGGGGGGAAGAAGGAAGUAGAAUAGGUAAAGAGAUUGACAGACAGACAGACAGACACAUACACAAAACACAAAAGAGAAAGAGAGAAAGAUAGGAAUCAAUAAUCAAUUGGUGCAGGCAGAUGAUCAGUGAUAGGGCAAAUAAUAAACAAUAAUGAAAGAGUUUCACCAAAUCAAGCAUAAAAGUGAUGAAGAAUGUACUGUUUCCGAACACCCCCAAUAUUGGCCUCAUUGGGCAAUAGGCAUUACCAUUUUUUCAAAAAAAAUGGCCGCCCCAUGCCAUGCAAAUUGGCAGUGCAUGCGGUAAAUUUGGACCACCCUUCCAUUUUGUAGUACUCUCCGGCUGCGUAAUAUAUAAUAUAGAGAUCAGCCAAACAUAGCAAAAGAGAUAUAAUUAAGCUCUUCAGCUCGGGCAGCUGGCUGGCUCUUUUGCAUGCGCAUGAGGUCUCCCCAUCCCCUAUA
This 572-nucleotide long non-coding RNA is filed under the name Cucumis sativus (cucumber). RNAcentral's name for it is "long non-coding RNA (CSAT_LNC000732)". Lineage: Eukaryota; Viridiplantae; Streptophyta; Magnoliopsida; Cucurbitales; Cucurbitaceae. The record is from RNAcentral.